GCCUUCAUGGGGUAACUGGAAAACAUUUCUGACUAACAAUCAUGAGGGCCGGAGUUCGAAUCUCUGCGAAAGCA
RNAcentral lists this transfer RNA (74 nucleotides) under Stegodyphus mimosarum. It matches the Rfam family "tRNA". From Rfam's summary of the family: Transfer RNA (tRNA) molecules are approximately 80 nucleotides in length. Their secondary structure includes four short double-helical elements and three loops (D, anti-codon, and T loops). The record is from Rfam by way of RNAcentral. Lineage: Eukaryota; Metazoa; Arthropoda; Arachnida; Araneae; Eresidae.